AAAAAGAAGGGAUUAGUAUAGAUUUCCGUGACAUUUUUAUGGCAAUGUAAUAGGAAGUUUCUUCUCAAAAAAUUAAAUAAGCCAAUCUUUUAAAUUGGUAAUAGUUAAUACUUUAUUAAUCAUACGCUAAUUACUUUAUUUGACCGUCGGUGGGAAUGGGGAAAGAGAAGAGAGGAUAAUUGAUGAUAAAAUAUUUUUGUUUUACGGGCUUGUUUAGAUUGAUGCACAAAGCAAGCCGAUCAAAAUCGUUGCUCACAAAACAAUUUGGCCAACCCAUUAAUACCAAAAUUUUAGUAAUGCUCAUCCUGUGUCGUACAAGUUAGUCUCAAACCAAAACGAUGGCCAAAUCGAUCCUGCUAAGGAAUUAGGGUGUGUUUGAGAAUGAGAGGAUUGAAGUCACCGCCGACAGCAGCACCUCCAGAAGUGCCUGCCGAUGGAAGUCACUGCCGCCGUGGGCCUCGGACCGCCGUCGCCGCCGCGACGGGCGCCCCUACCACGAGCUCGCCUUGCUGCCGCCGCCACGUCGUCGCGAGCUCCGCCGCCCCCGCCACGAGCUCGCCCGAUCCGGCCGCCGGGGGGGCCGGAUCCGCCUCCAGCGCGGCCGGAUCCGGCGCCUCUGCCGCCACCGCCAUCCCUGCCGCCGUCGUCCCAGCCUCCGCCGUCCCCACCGCCAUCGACCCAGCCGCGCCCCUGCCGUCGUCGUCGCCUUCCUCGCCGCCAUCUCUAUCCCCAUCGCCAGUCGCCACCCCUGUCACCGUCGCCACGCCCUGGGCUGCUCCCCCGGCUGCCCAACGAGACGACGUCAACGAGCGAGGAGCCCCGCCGCCUCCGUCCUUGCCGCCGCGCGGCUUUGCCGGCGGCCGCUCAAGCGGCGUCGAGGUGGAGGAGGAAGAUGGGGGGAGGGGGCGGCCGGAGAUCGAUGCCUUCCGUGCUGCCCCUUGGGGAGGGCGACGCGAGAGUUUUUCCCUGCAGCGAAAACAUAUUCAAUUUUUAUAAUAGUUUGAGCUUAAGUUUGAGGUGGGUGCGUGCGGUGAUCUCAUCAUGGUCAUUGCCGACGCAUUGUUGUGGUGGUCAUCGCCGACGAGGUCUCGAGCCCACGCUUCUUCGCGGUUGAUUGAGCUGCUCCACCCCAAUCUGGCCCAUCACCAGCGGCGGCUGGAUCCCUCGACCUCAAGGUCCGAUACGUCGUCUAUAAAGGGCAGAGAAGCUUGAGGUCAUCCUACCACCAGAUCCACGCUGUUAAGCGCUCAUCGUCGUCUCCUGCUUUGCGCCACCAAGCUCGUUGGCAAGGUUAGCAGCGACGACCGCCCCCACAAGGUCGAACUGCCACGCUUUCCCACCAGAUUAUCUAGCUAGGUGACAUGCCUCGACCGACCACAAGGGUCCCACGUGCUCCCUUCGGUGACAACAAUAGUCCUCUCAUAGUGCGACCAUGUACGAUCGUGGCGAAGCUCCUAGAGCACAUGGACGAGGAGGGCAUGGAAAGCCAAACAUGAACUUGAGGAGGAAGUCGAGGACUUUGGUUGGCUCUUCUUUAUGGAUAGAGUUAAUACAAGAGAUCUUCUAUAUAGAAAGCAUUGUGUUCCUGACAAUGCAACUGUCUAUUGCGCCUGCUGCUCUUAGAAUAUAUAGGGGAAACAAGGGAACAUCUUUUCUUUACUCGCAGUUUCAGUAUGCAGUUGUUGGAGUGUGCUGGGUUGGAAUUGGAGCACUUCCCAGGAGUUUCAUCGUAUGAUCCAAUCACAGAGUGCUUUUCUUUCACAGAGUGCUUUUCUUUCUCUAAUCUCUGUUUCAUGGAACUUAUGUUUUUGGCUACCUAGAAUAUUUGGAAGAAGAGAAAUAACCUAAUUUUCAAUGGAAUUUAGCCUGAGGUUCUCUCCUGGAAAAGGAGUUUAAAGUUAGAUUUGAGUCUACAUUUACCUAGGCUUAAGGAGAUUCAUCCAAGGCUUACGUGGUUUAAAAGUGCGUUUGCUGCCGCUUUCAAUGAGCGAUUAAAAUAGGGUCUUUUAGGUGUAAAAAGUCAAAUGUAAUUAAAGUAUACUCCCUCCGUCCCAUAAUAAGCGUACUUGUGGGUUUCAGUGUCCAACUUUGACCAUCUGUAUU
Non-coding RNA from Oryza sativa Japonica Group (Japanese rice), 2103 nucleotides. NCBI's taxonomy places the organism in Eukaryota, Viridiplantae, Streptophyta, Magnoliopsida, Poales, Poaceae. The record is from RefSeq and is a predicted model, not a curated record.